CUGUGUUUAGAGAUUUAGUUUAAGAUAAGGAUCCAGGCAGCACAUCAUAUGGCAUAGAGUUUUUGUAAUGACCCUGCCGUUGACAUCUAGCUCCCUAGUUUUCUUGGAGCAGCGGUGAUGUGUCUGUCUGGCUCUGGACCCAAGGGUUUUUGGGCUCAAUUCACACCUCAAAUCUAUUUUUUUGGUUGCAUACACAUAGCAGACGUUAUUGUGGGUGUAGUGAAAUGCUCGUGUUCCGAGCUCCGACAGUGCAGUAGUAUGUAACAAGCAGUGACGUAGCCUCUGAACCUCAUGCUACUUCCUGGUUUCCUUACACUUUCAGUCAUCUUCCUUUUCCCCUAUUCCCCCAUGCAGCAUUGCUGCUGUGGCCUGUUCCCUCUGAGGGGAUGAUUUGACAACACUCAGAGAGAGAAUUCCCCUGGGCUCAGGCUCACUUCAAGAUAGGCCUGAGUCCUGUGUACAGGGUGAGUGUCGGCGGCGAGGGAGUGACUAACGUGCAGGCCAAUCGGCAGGCCCAGGGGGCAGUGACCCAGUACGCGCCCUGGACAGCAGCAAUGGCUGCAGCCUUGUGGAGCUCCAGCCCAUCACAAGUAGCGACACUUCUGAAGAAUUGAAUCUGGUGUGGUUCCAAGUCAUCUGUUUCUGCAGUCACCCUGCACAUUCUAACUGAUUGCUAUAUAACAUGAUUGCAAAAAAGAUGACACGGAACCUGUCUUCAUUUAGUGGGGGGAAAUUCGGGUGUUUUUACAGACUAAUAUUUUCGACUCAUUCAGUCAAAAGAACAAAUCUUUCGACUCAUUUUGUUCAUUUGAGUCAGUAAUGCUCAGAGAACACAGGACGCUUACCGGCGAAUGAUGAACUAAAAAUUCAAAAUAGUAAUGAUUCUACAAGCCCUCUCGUUCACCAUAAGGGGCUUAUUGGAGCUUUCAUUUGUGAUUGUUUAAAGCACCCUUUUACAAGUCUCAAUGUACAUUUGUUGAUUGCUAGACAUGCAAAUGCGAUUAUGUCUCUGUACAUUUGAAACGAGUUGUGGCCGCAACUCGACUAGAUUGCGAGCGUGUCUUGGGGGAACGCAUUUCUCGACUGUCUUGAGGGUAAUAAGCAUAAUAUUAUUUGCGAACUGCAGCAUUCCAAAUGAUUCAUUCUCAAGUUUGUUCGAGUUUGUUGAGCAGAGGCUGUGUAUGUUUUGGUUCUACAAAGCUGUGUAGAACUUGCGAGAAUAUAUGAUAUAUGCUGUCCGGAGCACGUUAACGGAGGAGUGCGUAUUAAUCCUGCUGUAGAAUUAAUUGCGGCCAGCAGUUCAAACGACUUAAAACGAACGAGUCAAAUCAGAAUAAUUGUAUCAUAACUAUCGAGUCAGUAAAAAGUCCUUCAAAAAGAACAGAUCGUUCUUUAGUCUUCGUGUUGUUGAGGGGUCUGCUACACACUAAUAGCUCACAUUAACCUAGGUCAUAGAAGAAACGAUGCUCCUUUGAACAGUAGCACCAUUUUUGAACAACCUUGUGAACCAGCAUAGCAACCUGUUCACUGUGUCUCUUGCCUCAUCCAUCCAUCUCCUGCUCAUAGGGGUGAGGAUCCACACCCCAGCAUACGCUCUGGGGUGUCAUAUCCUUGGGGACCACAAAAACUUCCACCUUAGAAAUUGCUGGAUGGUUUGUUACCGAGCCUGGGAUUGAAACAAAGCAAGGCACGUCGCCUUCUUCCCUAACCCUGCACGCACAUCAGCUGACACUGCCAGUGAUAUCACUGUGUCCUACCCCCUGCUGAAGUACUUCACCACCAGCACCCUGCGACGACUGCAGAUCCCCAUUCCAGAUAAGAGGAUGAAUGGUGCAUCAGCGGCUCCUCUGCAGAGCAGACAGGAUACAGAAGACUCUCUUAAAAUCAGAAAUACGGAGCGGCAUCACUUCUAGUGACCUUUGUCCUAAUGGUUGUCCCAAGUUCCAAGAGCUAAGGCCUAACUGAAAUUCUUAAAAAGCCACACACACUCAUUCACAGUACAAAGGCACGUUUGGGGGGGAAAAAACAGACUUUCUUAUUUAGCCUCCAACACCACUAGAAUAUCAAUACAUACAGGAGAUCAUAAAUGCCAAUAAAAAUACAUGUAAAAAAAAAAAAAAAAAA
Oncorhynchus tshawytscha (Chinook salmon) is the source of this 2124-nucleotide long non-coding RNA. RefSeq lists it as uncharacterized. The record is from RefSeq and is a predicted model, not a curated record. The transcript is spliced from 3 exons. NCBI's taxonomy places the organism in Eukaryota, Metazoa, Chordata, Actinopteri, Salmoniformes, Salmonidae.